CCCUGUGAACAUACCUAUACGUUGCCUCGGCGGAUCAGCCCGCGCCCCGUAAAACGGGACGGCCCGCCCGAGGACCCUAAACUCUGUUUUUAGUGGAACUUCUGAGUAAAACAAACAAAUAAAUCAGAACUUUCAACAACGGAUCUCUUGGUUCUGGCAUCGAUGAAGAACGCAGCAAAAUGCGAUAAGUAAUGUGAAUUGCAGAAUUCAGUGAAUCAUCGAAUCUUUGAACGCACAUUGCGCCCGCCAGUAUUCUGGCGGGCAUGCCUGUUCGAGCGUCAUUUCAACCCUCAAGCUCAGCUUGGUGUUGGGACUCGCGGUAACCCGCGUUCCCCAAAUCGAUUGGCGGUCACGUCAAGCUUCCAUAGCGUAGUAAUCAUACACCUCGUUACUGGUAAUCGUCGCGGCCACGCCGUAAAACCCCAACUUCUGAAUGUUGACCUCGGAUCAGGUAGGAAUACCCGCUGAACUUAAGCAUAUCAA
RNAcentral lists this ribosomal RNA (483 nucleotides) under Septogloeum mori. RNAcentral describes it as "eukaryotic LSU rRNA". The stretch from base 128 to 281 matches the Rfam family "5.8S ribosomal RNA". Lineage: Eukaryota; Fungi; Ascomycota. The record is from RNAcentral.